GAGGGUAUAGCUCAGUGGUAGAGCACAUGCAUGAGGUCCUGGGUUCCAUCCCCAGUACCUCCA
RNAcentral lists this transfer RNA (63 nucleotides) under Camelus bactrianus (Bactrian camel). It matches the Rfam family "tRNA". Rfam says of the family: Transfer RNA (tRNA) molecules are approximately 80 nucleotides in length. RNAcentral also lists the same sequence under 2 other names. The record is from Rfam by way of RNAcentral. Lineage: Eukaryota; Metazoa; Chordata; Mammalia; Artiodactyla; Camelidae.